Molecule: long non-coding RNA, 355 nt
Organism: Nothobranchius furzeri (turquoise killifish)
Lineage: Eukaryota; Metazoa; Chordata; Actinopteri; Cyprinodontiformes; Nothobranchiidae
Source: RefSeq, a predicted model, not a curated record
GUGGGCGAAGUACAUGGAAGUGGUAAGAUGUGGUGGAUGCUAUUUAUGGACACAGACCGUCAAACCGAGGCAGCGAAGGAGGCCUGGACUCGGCGACCAGUAUCCUGGAGUCACUCGUAAACCCUGUUGACACAUCUGACGUGGAAAACACUCCCUCUUCAGAGGAACCAUCCACUUCCUCAAGUAGCACUCCAGGACCUUCUAUGCCACCAUCACCUCUGUCCACUACCACUCGAGAGGAAUAUCUACCAUGUCGUCGACGCACAGAUUACCGAAGACGGCGAUUGGAAGCACGCACUCAGAUGAUAUUUGAUGAGUUGCAGAUCGCAGAUGGACAGAAUGGAAUGCCUUAGCC